GCCCGCGUAGCGUAAUGGAUAACGCGUUGGCCUCCUAAGCCAAAGAUUGCGGGUUCGAGUCCCGCCGUGGGUA
Molecule: non-coding RNA, 73 nt
Organism: Folsomia candida
Lineage: Eukaryota; Metazoa; Arthropoda; Collembola; Entomobryomorpha; Isotomidae
Source: the annotation of a RefSeq genome assembly